GUCGAGAAUUUUUCUCAAUGGGGGAAACCCUGAAGGAGCGACGCCGCGUGGAGGAUGAAGGUCUUCGGAUUGUAAACUCCUGUCAUUGGGGAACAAUGCGUAAAUAUUAACUGUAUUUGCGUUGAUAGUACCCGAAGAGGAAGAGACGGCUAACUCUGUGCCAGCAGCCGCGGUAAUACAGAGGUCUCAAGCGUUGUUCGGAUUCAUUGGGCGUAAAGGGUGCGUAGGCGGCGCGGUAAGUCGGGUGUGAAAUCUCGGGGCUUAACUCCGAAACUGCAUUCGAUACUGCCGUGCUUGAGGACUGGAGAGGAGACUGGAAUUUACGGUGUAGCGGUGAAAUGCGUAGAUAUCGUAAGGAAGACCAGUGGCGAAGGCGGGUCUCUGGACAGUUCCUGACGCUGAGGCACGAAGGCCAGGGGAGCAAACGGGAUUAGAUACCCUAGUAGUCC
This 449-nucleotide ribosomal RNA is filed under the name uncultured bacterium. RNAcentral describes it as "bacterial SSU rRNA". It matches the Rfam family "Bacterial small subunit ribosomal RNA", at positions 354 to 796 of the family's 1533-position model. The record is from RNAcentral.